RNAcentral lists this ribosomal RNA (292 nucleotides) under Clostridioides difficile. RNAcentral's name for it is "partial 23S ribosomal RNA". It matches the Rfam family "Bacterial large subunit ribosomal RNA", at positions 1400 to 1687 of the family's 2925-position model. Lineage: Bacteria; Bacillati; Bacillota; Clostridia; Peptostreptococcales; Peptostreptococcaceae. The record is from RNAcentral.
GGCCGAAAGGCGUAGGUGAUGGACAACAGGUUGAUAUUCCUGUACUACCGAUAACCGUUUGAGAGAAGGGAUGACACAGUAGGAUAAACUAAGAACACUGUUGGUUAUGUGUGCCCAAGCAUUGAGGCAGGCAAAGUAGGCAAGUCCGCUUUGAUAAUGCUUGGUUGUGGUGGGGAGCGAAAUUUAGUAGCGAAGUAGCUGAUUUCACACUGUCCAGAAAAGUCACUAUCGAUGCUAAAGGUACCCGUACCGCCAACCGCCACAGGUGGGUCAGGAGAGUAUCCUAAGGCCA